Non-coding RNA from Zootermopsis nevadensis, 1302 nucleotides. NCBI's taxonomy places the organism in Eukaryota, Metazoa, Arthropoda, Insecta, Blattodea, Termopsidae. The record is from RefSeq and is a predicted model, not a curated record.
GCGUGUUCAAAUCUGACGUCAUUUACAUAAGUCCGCUGUGCGGUGAUUUCCUGACGUCACGCACAAAGGAGCCAAAGAGAGACGAUUAGACCUGCAUUCUGGAAGUAUGCUGUAGAGUGAGGAAGUCCCUCUGUCUCCUCCCAGGAAGAAAAACAUUUAUCCUUCCCUUUCGUCAUGAAAUGUCAUUAAGAACUUACGAGUAACUAGGGACAUUUCUUGGUUUUCUGUAGUCCUGCAUGUGAAUGCUCUGUGACAACACAAAGUCCGUCCAUGGAUCUCCCAACCACUGUGAUACGUUCUGUUGGACAUUUAUAGUCGUAUAAGUAGAAUUUGUGAUUCUCACGGUAGUGAGUACGAAUAUGGCCGCCUUGUAGUCUGGUAAGCGAUUACGAACGUUUCAAAUGUCUUUGCUGUCUCCGACGAACUACAAAGUCGGAGGAUGCUUAUAAAAGAAAAUCCAGAUUAGUCUUUUUCACGCUCUGAAAAUGCCAAAAAUGAGAUUUGUAAUUAUGAACGCAGAACUUUGUCGAACAUAACCUUAUCAGAGUUAAACUCGGAUGAGAUGACCCACAUUUUGGAAAAAAAAUAUAACUACUAUAAAUACUAUAGCUGACUGCUUCCACUUCGAAUUCUUCCUCUGAGGACUUUCAGACAUGAAAAAUGCAUGUUCCGGGAUAGCUGACGGGUCAAAUGGAUGUAUUCCUGUGGCUUUAAACCCUGUUACGCCGUCACCAGUGGUUCUGAUCUUCCCCAAGUUUUAGCAAGAAGUUGUCCGAAUUGCAGUCUGGUUAUUUUUCGCUGUCCGUUGGACGUCAUCCAAUUCCAAGCAGCUCUGAAUGUAAGACAACUACAUGGUAACGAAGUAGACAGACGGACGUGACCUCCAGGUAAGGCGUUAAUUCCUUUUCGCAGUUCCUACACAGUUAACACAGAGAGGUGCAGGGCAACUCAUCCGCAAUAAUGUGGGGCAUCUCACCCAAAGUGUCAGGUGGGAGGCCCCAGUUGAUAUCGCCAAGAAAAUGGUAAACUGUGAGAAAGGAACAUGUAACUUAUUCACUUGCCUUCGCUUUCACUAACUGACUUCACGAACGGGAAAAUGUUCACCCUCGGCAAUGACAGGUAACAGAUAUAAGUUUGUAUUCUGCUUGAAAUAUGCAAAAGAACAAUUGCAUAACUACUUCCUCCAGGCAACAGCAACACACUGAAUGCCAUAAUGAGCUACAAUGGCUUCUCCCGCGCAUAGACUUUGAUAUAUCGAAACCGGGGCAUCUCUACCGAUGGGGCGUCACACACGACUUUACC